UGCCCGAGGUGGGAAUCGAACCCACAUGUCCUUGCGGACAACGGAUUUUAAGUCCGUUGCGUCUGCCUAUUCCGCCACUCGGGC
Molecule: transfer RNA, 84 nt
Filed under: Candidatus Hakubella thermalkaliphila
Lineage: Bacteria; Bacillati; Actinomycetota; Candidatus Hakubellales; Candidatus Hakubellaceae
Description: Candidatus Hakubanella thermoalkaliphilus tRNA-Leu
Source: RNAcentral